CUACGGGGGGCAGCAGUGAGGAAUAUUGCACAAUGGGGGGAACCCUGAUGCAGCAACGCCGCGUGGAGGAUGACGCAUUUCGGUGUGUAAACUCCUUUUAUAUGUCAAGAAAAUGACGGUAGCAUAUGAAUAAGCACCGGCAACUCCGGGCCAGCAGCCGCGGUAAUACGGAGGGUGCAAGCGUUACUCGGAAUCACUGGGCGUAAAGGACGCGUAGGCGGGUUGGAAAGUCAGGUGUGAAAUCCUACAGCUUAACUGUAGAACUGCACUUGAAACUUCUAAUCUAGAGUAUGGGAGGGGGAGAUGGAAUUAGUGGUGUAGGGGUAAAAUCCGUAGAUAUCACUAGGAAUACCUAAAGCGAAGGCGAUCUCCUGGAACAUUACUGACGCUGAGGCGUGAAAGCGUGGGGAGCAAACAGGAUUAGAUACCCCCGUAGUC
This 438-nucleotide ribosomal RNA is filed under the name uncultured bacterium. RNAcentral describes it as "partial 16S ribosomal RNA". It matches the Rfam family "Bacterial small subunit ribosomal RNA", at positions 339 to 795 of the family's 1533-position model. The record is from RNAcentral.